This 338-nucleotide long non-coding RNA is filed under the name Equus caballus (horse). Its description in RNAcentral is "lncRNA (ENSECAG00000045186.1)". Lineage: Eukaryota; Metazoa; Chordata; Mammalia; Perissodactyla; Equidae. The record is from RNAcentral.
GGAACUUAAAGUAAAAUCCGGCUGUUCUAACCUUCCUAGAGUUCCCCAAGUUCAGAAGAAAGGAUGGUCCUGCGACCCUCCCCGCCCACCGGGGAGCAAAAUAGUCCGGGACCCUCCUACCCCGCCUUAGAACUGAGCCACUGAGGUACAUAAAAGAAAACUUGAAAUCGUCGAAAGAUAUCAAGGUUGAAAAGUUCACAGUGUCCAAAGCAAUGAAAACAAUUUAUUUGAAAACUCACAACAAGACAUGGCAUCAAGAAAUUUCAUAUCAACUGUAUAUGCAGAUUGUAAACGCUUCCAGAAAAGAAAUAUAAUCAACUAUAAAAACUCAAGAAUCA